GCGUGUGUGGCUACUGAGGUUGGACGCGAGGAAUUCAUUCUUAGCAUUUCGUCGAGCAAACCGAGUGCAUCAGAUAAGGGGUUAUAACCCAGACAAUAACAGACAUAGGAGAAGGAACUAAGAUCUGGUUCAAAGACCAUUCUGAUAUUCAAAAUUUGUUAUCCCAUGUGACUACCGAAUUGCAGGCUGAUAUGCAUUCAGGUAUGCACUUCCGGGCCUUGUUCGGUUACACCUGAGUUGGGAGGGAUUUGGUUCAGAUCCCUGCCAGUACCUCCUGAUCCAUGUCAAUCCACAAGCCCUCUGUAGACCAAUUUGUGUGCAUUCUAUGAAUUUGAAUAGUGGGAGGAUGGAUGUCACGUCUGGUUCAACAGCAGGCCAAAGCUUGUUCUCAGUGACCCACACAUUACUCUUUUGUAAUCUCUUCAUGUGUGUUGCAACAUCGAGCUUCAAAAGCAGAAGUAACAUUUAUUCUCAAUAUCUUCCUGUCAAACCUGCCUGUGCAUUUUUCGGCAUCAUUUUAUCAAACAGAAUGGGUGCAAAUCUUGAAAGUAGUUUGACUUUUUCUUGUAUUAUGGACGGGAACAAGGCCCAUGACAGAGUGGGUCAGACUUUUGGAUGAUCUGUUUUCGGGAAGGUUUGGCAACCUAGCAAAAAAUAAAUAAAUCAUAAGUCAGUAUUCCAAGUCUCCUACAGAUUGUACGCUAAUGUAUGUGAUAUUGCUUGUUUCCUUUUGGCUAUAUAUUCAGGUCACUUCUGUCCCUUGGAAGGAGAAUGAGCUCAACAUGGUCGAUACACCUGGCCAUGCUGAUUUUGGUGGUGAAGUAAGCACUUUUGGUAUAAUUUUGUACAUAUUAGACUCAAAUGGCGUUUUUUGUGUGAUAUUUGAGAUGUUUACCGCUUUUUUAUAGGUCGAGCGAGUUGUUGGAAUGGUUGAAGGAGCGGUGUUGGUUGUUGAUGCUGGGGAGGGACCUUUAGC
Molecule: long non-coding RNA, 976 nt
Filed under: Brachypodium distachyon (stiff brome)
Lineage: Eukaryota; Viridiplantae; Streptophyta; Magnoliopsida; Poales; Poaceae
Description: long non-coding RNA (BDIS_LNC002632)
Source: RNAcentral